CCUGGUGGCACCACCCUUCAUCUUGCAGGUGUGAGAAUCACUGCUCUCUUGUUCUCAUAGAAGUUGGAAAGGAAACUCUGCCUUUCUGUCUCAGAGGCUGCCUGCGGCUUGCUGAUCUCUGCUUGGUGCGCACAGGACAACCAGCUUGUAUCCACGCCAGAUAGACACAGAGCUGGAAGAAGAUGGGGUGUGAUUGGAACUGCUCGGCAUUGGUUACAGGUAAGUGAGGAUCAAAUCCUGUCUACUUAUAGCCCUCUGUCCAGCUGGUGUGUCACCAAAUAAAAAUCAGCCAGAGGUAAGAG
Molecule: long non-coding RNA, 302 nt
Filed under: Aotus nancymaae (Ma's night monkey)
Lineage: Eukaryota; Metazoa; Chordata; Mammalia; Primates; Aotidae
Description: lncRNA (ENSANAG00000039082.1)
Source: RNAcentral